RNAcentral lists this ribosomal RNA (400 nucleotides) under uncultured bacterium. Its description in RNAcentral is "bacterial SSU rRNA". It matches the Rfam family "Bacterial small subunit ribosomal RNA", at positions 356 to 773 of the family's 1533-position model. The record is from RNAcentral.
GGGGAAUCUUAGACAAUGGGGGAAACCCUGAUCUAGCCAUGCCGCGUGAGCGAUGAAGGCCUUAGGGUUGUAAAGCUCUUUCAGCUGGGAAGAUAAUGACGGUACCAGCAGAAGAAGCCCCGGCUAACUCCGUGCCAGCAGCCGCGGUAAUACGGAGGGGGCUAGCGUUGUUCGGAAUUACUGGGCGUAAAGCGCACGUAGGCGGAUUAUUAAGUCGGGGGUGAAAUCCCGGGGCUCAACCCCGGAACUGCCUUCGAUACUGGUAGUCUUGAGGUCGAGAGAGGUGAGUGGAAUUCCGAGUGUAGAGGUGAAAUUCGUAGAUAUUCGGAGGAACACCAGUGGCGAAGGCGGCUCACUGGCUCGAUACUGACGCUGAGGUGCGAAAGCGUGGGGAGCAAAC